This 253-nucleotide ribosomal RNA is filed under the name uncultured bacterium. RNAcentral describes it as "partial 16S ribosomal RNA". It matches the Rfam family "Bacterial small subunit ribosomal RNA", at positions 524 to 776 of the family's 1533-position model. The record is from RNAcentral.
UACGUAGGCAGCAAGCGUUGUUCGGAAUUACUGGGCGUAAAGAGUGUGUAGGCGGUGUCGUAAGUUUGGUGUGAAAUCUCCCGGCUUAACUGGGAGGGUGCGCCGAAGACUGCGAUGCUGGAGUAUGGGAGAGGAAAGCGGAAUUCCUGGUGUAGCGGUGAAAUGCGUAGAUAUGCGGAGGAACACCGAUGGCGAAGGCAAUCCCCUGGGCCUGCACUGACGCUCAUGCACGAAAGCGUGGGGAGCAAACGGG